UACGAAGGGAGCUAGCGUUGUUCGGAAUCACUGGGCGUAAAGCGCACGUAGGCGGAUUUGUCAGUCAGGGGUGAAAUCCCGGGGCUCAACCUCGGAACUGCCUUUGAUACAGCAAGUCUUGAGUUCGAGAGAGGUGGGUGGAAUUCCUAGUGUAGAGGUGAAAUUCGUAGAUAUUAGGAAGAACACCGGUGGCGAAGGCGGCCCACUGGCUCGAUACUGACGCUGAGGAGCGAAAGCGUGGGGAGCGAACAGG
This 253-nucleotide ribosomal RNA is filed under the name uncultured bacterium. Its description in RNAcentral is "partial 16S ribosomal RNA". It matches the Rfam family "Bacterial small subunit ribosomal RNA", at positions 524 to 776 of the family's 1533-position model. The record is from RNAcentral.